This 447-nucleotide ribosomal RNA is filed under the name uncultured bacterium. RNAcentral describes it as "partial 16S ribosomal RNA". It matches the Rfam family "Bacterial small subunit ribosomal RNA", at positions 29 to 523 of the family's 1533-position model. The record is from RNAcentral.
AGCGAACGCUGGCGGCGGGCUUAACACAUGCAAGUCGAGCGCCCCGCAAGGGGAGCGGCAGACGGGUGAGUAACACGUGGGAACGUGCCUUUUGGUUCGGAACAACCCAGGGAAACUUGGGCUAAUACCGGAUAAGCCCUUACGGGGAAAGAUUUAUCGCCAAAAGAUCGGCCCGCGUCUGAUUAGCUAGUCGGUGGGGUAAUGGCCCACCAAGGCUACGAUCAGUAGCUGGUCUGAGAGGAUGAUCAGCCACAUUGGGACUGAGACACGGCCCAAACUCCUACGGGAGGCAGCAGUGGGGAAUAUUGGACAAUGGGGGCAACCCUGAUCCAGCCAUGCCGCGUGAGUGAUGAAGGCCUUAGGGUUGUAAAGCUCUUUUAGCAGGGAAGAUAAUGACGGUACCUGCAGAAAAAGCCCCGGCUAACUUCGUGCCAGCCGCCGCGGUAA